This is a non-coding RNA of Lolium perenne, 145 nucleotides long. Lineage: Eukaryota; Viridiplantae; Streptophyta; Magnoliopsida; Poales; Poaceae. The record is from RefSeq and is a predicted model, not a curated record.
CUCUUGUGAUGUUAUUAAAGUAGUCUAUUCCUCCUUCACGGUGUAAUGGUGACAGUGUGUGCAUCGUGUAGUACUUGGCGUAGGUUAUGAUCAUAAUCUCUUGUAGGUUAUGAAGUUAAUUAUUACUAUGAUAGUAUUGAUGUGA